AGCUGAGUAGAGGCAGUCUCACUGGAGCCCCUGAUCUCUCUCCUCAAAAAAUCAAAUCCACUACCUAAAAUUUCUCGAAGUCUAGCCACCUCUGCAGAUAGAUUGGAGACCUCUGUGAUGUCCUCAUGCGGCUGGAGAUGAGCUAAAGAUAAUACUUGCCUCUGUAAAUCUAGAACUUUGUCCGUCAGUCUUAGAACACAUCCCUCAAGCUCCUCAAGUCGUACGAACUGAGCUGUGAGUAUUUGAAAAAUAGUAGAGAUAUGAGGGAUGAGUCAUCCUGAGAUGUCAACCUCUAAGCAAAGACUGAGGUGGCAAACUGCUAAGAUAAAAUGGAGGCAACACACUGGGACAUCAGC
Molecule: long non-coding RNA, 356 nt
Filed under: Elaeis guineensis (African oil palm)
Lineage: Eukaryota; Viridiplantae; Streptophyta; Magnoliopsida; Arecales; Arecaceae
Description: long non-coding RNA (EGUI_LNC046057)
Source: RNAcentral